GACGAACGCUGGCGGCGUGCUUAACACAUGCAAGUCGAACGGUAAGGCCCUUCGGGGUACUCGAGUGGCGAACGGGUGAGUAACACGUGGGUGAUCUGCCCUGCACUUUGGGAUAAGCCUGGGAAACUGGGUCUAAUACCGAAUAUGACUACAGGCUGCAUGGUCUGUGGUGGAAAGCUUUUGCGGUGUGGGAUGGGCCCGCGGCCUAUCAGCUUGUUGGUGGGGUGAUGGCCUACCAAGGCGACGACGGGUAGCCGGCCUGAGAGGGUGACCGGCCACACUGGGACUGAGAUACGGCCCAGACUCCUACGGGAGGCAGCAGUGGGGAAUAUUGCACAAUGGGCGCAAGCCUGAUGCAGCGACGCCGCGUGAGGGACGACGGCCUUCGGGUUGUAAACCUCUUUCAGCACAGACGAAGCGCAAGUGACGGUAUGUGCAGAAGAAGGACCGGCCAACUACGUG
This 462-nucleotide ribosomal RNA is filed under the name uncultured bacterium. RNAcentral's name for it is "partial 16S ribosomal RNA". It matches the Rfam family "Bacterial small subunit ribosomal RNA", at positions 28 to 507 of the family's 1533-position model. The record is from RNAcentral.